This is a small nuclear RNA of Octodon degus (degu), 106 nucleotides long. The record is from Ensembl. Lineage: Eukaryota; Metazoa; Chordata; Mammalia; Rodentia; Octodontidae.
AUGCUCCCUUUGGUAGCACGUAUACUAAAAUUGGAAUGAUACAGAGAAUAUUAGCAUAGCCCCUGGGAAAGGAUGAUAUGCAAUUUGUGGAGCAUUCCAUAUUAAA